CAGAGUGUGAGCUCUCGUAUACAGGCCCAUGCAAAUCCGAAAAAGUUCGACAUUUUUCACUCUGAUACAGCUCUCCAUCACAUCAGGGGAAAACUUUAUGUGCUUCAGCUGUGAAGACCUGACCUGGCUCCUCUGAAUACUGGGCUACAGUCUAAGCAGAGGUGUCUAAGCAAAGGUACCUUAUUUCAAGGAAGCUUUAGAGUGUAAAUAAAGCCAAGGGGUGCUUGAUAAAGCCCUGUAGACACCAAACUGGCUCCUCAGCCCCCUCCUGGGGCUCAGCACCUUACAGGUGAGAUCAAAGAAAUUUAAAGAUGAAGCAGUUCUAACAAGUGUUUAUUCCCCAGGUGUCCAAACUGCUGUUUCGAGCCACUUCAUCUUCUGACAUGUUCAUAUUUUCGUCACCUCCUCUUCACUUGAGCAGUCAAAGUCAUAUUGGGAUCAUUCACUUCCAAGCCCCCCCCCCCUUGUAAAGAUACAUGCUUUAAACUUUGAGUAGAAAAGGUUCACCUGAUGAACAGAUGGGUUGACUACAUUACUCUCUUCCCCAUCCACCUUCUACUGACAGGGUAAGUAGACCAGGGAAGGGUGAAGGGAAAUGAACUAUGUCAAUGAAUCAGCCUGA
RNAcentral lists this long non-coding RNA (622 nucleotides) under Lepisosteus oculatus (spotted gar). RNAcentral's name for it is "lncRNA (ENSLOCG00000022509.1)". Lineage: Eukaryota; Metazoa; Chordata; Actinopteri; Semionotiformes; Lepisosteidae. The record is from RNAcentral.